AUUGAACGCUGGCGGCAUGCUUUACACAUGCAAGUCGAACGGUAACAGGCCGCAAGGUGCUGACGAGUGGCGAACGGGUGAGUAAUGCAUCGGAACGUGCCCAGUCGUGGGGGAUAACUACUCGAAAGAGUAGCUAAUACCGCAUACGAUCUAUGGAUGAAAGCGGGGGACCGUAAGGCCUCGCGCGAUUGGAGCGGCCGAUGUCAGAUUAGGUAGUUGGUGGGGUAAAGGCUCACCAAGCCAACGAUCUGUAGCUGGUCUGAGAGGACGACCAGCCACACUGGGACUGAGACACGGCCCAGACUCCUACGGGAGGAAGCAGUGGGGAAUUUUGGACAAUGGGCGCAAGCCUGAUCCAGCAAUGCCGCGUGCAGGAAGAAGGCCUUCGGGUUGUAAACUGCUUUUGUACGGAACGAAACGGCUCUGGUUAAUACCCGGGGCUAAUGACGGUACCGUAAGAAUAAGCACCGGCUAACUACGUG
RNAcentral lists this ribosomal RNA (482 nucleotides) under uncultured bacterium. RNAcentral describes it as "partial 16S ribosomal RNA". It matches the Rfam family "Bacterial small subunit ribosomal RNA", at positions 30 to 507 of the family's 1533-position model. The record is from RNAcentral.